RNAcentral lists this transfer RNA (75 nucleotides) under freshwater metagenome. Its description in RNAcentral is "tRNA-Gly". It matches the Rfam family "tRNA". Rfam says of the family: Transfer RNA (tRNA) molecules are approximately 80 nucleotides in length. The record is from RNAcentral.
GGGGGCGUGUUGUAAUUGGCAGCCUGUUCGUUUACCAAACAAGCGGAACGGGUUCGAACCCCGUCGUCUCCACCA